Molecule: unclassified non-coding RNA, 392 nt
Filed under: soil metagenome
Description: partial contains 5.8S ribosomal RNA, internal transcribed spacer 2, and large subunit ribosomal RNA
Rfam family: 5.8S ribosomal RNA (bases 1-120)
Source: RNAcentral
GAUGAAUAACGCAGUGAAAUGCGAUAAGUAAUGUGAAUUGCAGAAUUCAGUGAAUCAUCGAAUCUUUGAACGCAUCUUGCGCUCCUUGGUAUUCCGAGGAGCAUGCCUGUUUGAGUGUCAUUUAACUUCUCAACCACAUUGGAUAUUUUUUUUCCGAUGCCGGCUUGGAUGUGGGGGUUGUUUGCAGGCUUUUUGUAACAAAAAAGGUCGGCUCCCCUGAAAUGUAUUAGUGGUAUCUGAGGCUAUUACUAUUAGGUGUGAUAAUUAUCUAUGCCUUUUGGGUAUGCCGCAUGAACAGAUUAUGCUGCUUCUAACGAAAACUAUUUUGAUGAAUUUGACCUCAAAUCAGGUAGGACUACCCGCUGAACUUAAGCAUAUCAAUAAGCGGAGGA